UACGGAGGGUGCAAGCGUUAUCCGGGAUUCACUGGGUUUAAAGGGUGCGUAGGUGGGUUGGUAAGUCAGUGGUGAAAUCUCCUGCUUAACAUGGAAACUGCCAUUGAUACUACUGAUCUUGAAUUUUCAGGAGGUAAGCGGAAUAUGUCAUAGCGGUGAAAUGCUUAGAUAUGACAUAGAACACCAAAUUGCGAAGGCAGCUUACUACAGGAAUAUUUGACACUGAUGCACAAAAGCUGGGGGAUCAAAACAGGAUUAGAAA
Molecule: ribosomal RNA, 262 nt
Filed under: uncultured bacterium
Lineage: Bacteria
Description: partial 16S ribosomal RNA
Rfam family: Bacterial small subunit ribosomal RNA
Source: RNAcentral